UGUUCAAAUUUUCUAUUUCUUCCCAUUUGAGUUUUGGUAGUGUGUGGGUAUCUAUGAAUUUGUCCAUUUCUUCCAGGUUGUCCAAUUUGUUGGCAUAUAAUUUUUCAUAGUAUUCCCUGAUAAUUGUUU
Molecule: long non-coding RNA, 129 nt
Organism: Herpailurus yagouaroundi (jaguarundi)
Lineage: Eukaryota; Metazoa; Chordata; Mammalia; Carnivora; Felidae
Exons: 3
Source: RefSeq, a predicted model, not a curated record